This 22-nucleotide unclassified non-coding RNA is filed under the name Chlamydomonas reinhardtii. RNAcentral describes it as "small RNA Cre_0616". The record is from RNAcentral. Lineage: Eukaryota; Viridiplantae; Chlorophyta; Chlorophyceae; Chlamydomonadales; Chlamydomonadaceae.
AGUACGAGGAGCGUCCUUGCGC